This 1497-nucleotide ribosomal RNA is filed under the name Triticum aestivum (bread wheat). Its description in RNAcentral is "partial small subunit ribosomal RNA". The record is from RNAcentral. Lineage: Eukaryota; Viridiplantae; Streptophyta; Magnoliopsida; Poales; Poaceae.
AUGCUCAACUUGGCCUUCCUCAAAGGCAUGGAGGAGGCGAGGAAGUUCUUGCCGCCCAACAGCAGCCUCCCGGCCAUGAAGGUGGACCAAGUGGUGGCCGGAGUGCACGCUGGAGCCGGCCUCAAGAAAAAGAGGGACACUCUAGAGCCAGACAUGGGCAGGGCCAGCAAAUUGAUGAUGCCGGAGCAGGAGGAGGAUGGCGCACGAGAGCUGUUCGACGAAAUGAUGUUCCAGGAACACGAGAUAUGCAUGAAGGGGGUUCAGCAGCUUCGCGUCGCUGUGGACAGUGAACCCGGGAAGAACAGACGGAAGAAGGGUCGGCCAAGACGGGACUCGAGUGAUAGUGAGAUGGUGGACCUGCGCACGCUGCUGCUCAACUGCGCCCAGGCGCUGUCCACAGACAACCGGCGGACCGCAAGUGAGCUGCUGAAAAGAAUCAGGCAGCAUUCGACCCCAAAGGGUGAUGCGGCGCAAAGGCUAGCGCAUUAUUUUGCCGAGGCGCUGGAUGCACGGCUGGCGGGUAGGGGGAGCGAGCUGUACCAGUCGCUCAUGGCAAGGCGUACCUCGGUUGCAGACUUUCUCAAGGCCAACCAGCUUUACAUGGCAGCUUGCUGCUGCAAGAAGGUGGCCUUCAUCUUUGCCAAUAAGACCAUCUGCAAUGCUGUGGUAGGGAAGAGCCGGUUGCACAUUGUGGACUAUGGUCUGAGUCAAGGACUGCAGUGGCCGGGCCUGUUAUGUAUGCUUGCAGCUAGAGAAGGUGGACCACCAGAGGUGAAGAUCACCGGCAUUGACCUCCCUCAACCUGGGUUCCAAGGAGCCUACCACAUUGAGGAGACGGGGCGCAGGCUCAGCAACUUCGCCCGCGUGUUCGGUGUGCCGUUUAAGUUCCAUGGUAUUGCAGCAAAGCGGGAGACAGUCCAGCCGGAGGACCUGAGCAUCGACCGUGAUGAGGUGCUUGUGGUGAUUAGUCUUUGCCAUUUCAGGCUUUUGAUGGACGAAAACCUCGGCCUUGAUACUCCGAGCCCCAGGGAUCAGGUCCUCAACAACAUCAGGAAGAUGCGGCCAGAUGUGUUCAUCCAUGGCAUUAUGAAUGGCUCGUAUGGUGCUACAUACUUCCUGACACGGUUCAGGGAGGCAUUGUUCAAUUACUCGGCCCAAUUCGACCUGCUGGAUGCGACAGUCCCCCGGGAUAACGAAGGGCGUCUGCUGCUUGAGCGCGACAUCUUUGGGCGGUCUGCCCUGAAUGUCAUUGCAUGUGAGGGCUCAGACCGCGUGGAGCGCCCUGAGACAUACAAGCAGUGGCAGCUCCGGAACCACCGGGCUGGGCUGAGGCAGCUGCCAUUGAAUCCAGAUGUUGUUAGGCUUGUGCUGGACAAGGUUAAGGACAACUACCACAAGGACUUCGUCGUUGAUGAGGAUCAGCGGUGGUUGCUGCACAGGUGGAAGGGGCGUGUGCUCUAUGCCCUGUCAACAUGGGUUGCCGACAAUGCAACCUAG